AAGGUACGGGAGGCAGCAGCUGAGAAUCUUCCGCAAUGGACGAAAGUCUGACGGAGCGACACCGCGUGAACGAUGAAGGCCGGAAGGUUGUAAAGUUCUUUUGCAGACAAAGAAUAAGGAUAGAAGGAAAUGGCUAUCUGAUGACGGUAGUUAUGCGAAUAAGCCCCGGCUAAUUACGUGCCAGCAGCCGCGGUAAUCCUU
Molecule: ribosomal RNA, 201 nt
Filed under: uncultured bacterium
Lineage: Bacteria
Description: partial 16S ribosomal RNA
Rfam family: Bacterial small subunit ribosomal RNA
Source: RNAcentral